UACGAAGGGGGCUAGCGUUGUUCGGAAUCACUGGGCGUAAAGGGCGCGUAGGCGGCUUUGUAAGUCAGGGGUGAAAUCCUGGAGCUCAACUCCAGAACUGCCUUUGAUACUGGUGAUCUUGAGUCCGGGAGAGGUGAGUGGAACUGCGAGUGUAGAGGUGAAAUUCGUAGAUAUUCGCAAGAACACCAGUGGCGAAGGCGGCUCACUGGCCCGGUACUGACGCUGAGGUGCGAAAGCGUGGGGAGCGAACAGG
This 253-nucleotide ribosomal RNA is filed under the name uncultured bacterium. Its description in RNAcentral is "partial 16S ribosomal RNA". It matches the Rfam family "Bacterial small subunit ribosomal RNA", at positions 524 to 776 of the family's 1533-position model. The record is from RNAcentral.